This 622-nucleotide ribosomal RNA is filed under the name uncultured bacterium. RNAcentral describes it as "bacterial SSU rRNA". The stretch from base 1 to 536 matches the Rfam family "Bacterial small subunit ribosomal RNA", at positions 338 to 873 of the family's 1533-position model. The record is from RNAcentral.
CCUACGGGAGGCAGCAGUAAGGAAUAUUGGUCAAUGGAGGCAACUCUGAACCAGCCAUGCCGCGUGCAGGAAGACGGCCCUAUGGGUUGUAAACUGCUUUUGAACUAGAGAAAACCUUGGUACGUGUACCGAGUUGAUAGUAUAGUUAGAAUAAGCAUCGGCUAACUUCGUGCCAGCAGCCGCGGUAAGACGAAGGAUGCAAGCGUUAUCCGGAUUCAUUGGGUUUAAAGGGUGCGUAGGCGGACUGAUAAGUCAGUGGUGAAAUCUCUCAGCUUAACUGAGAAACUGCCAUUGAUACUGUUAGUCUAGAGUACAGAUGAUGUGGGCGGAAUAUGACAUGUAGUGGUGAAAUACUUAGAUAUGUCAUAGAACACCGAUUGCGAAGGCAGCUCACAAAACUGUAACUGACGCUGAGGCACGAAAGUGCGGGGAUCAAACAGGAUUAGAUACCCUGGUAGUCCGCACCGUAAACGAUGAUUACCUGUUGUUGGCGAUAUNANAGNAGCGACCGACGACGAAGAGAGAAGUAAUACACCGNGGAGGUACGCCGGCGACGUAGAACGUACGAAGAGAGUUAGACGGCGNGGAGGAGNGGCCGACGGACGACGACGAGGGGAGGAGG